GUCCCUACUGAACAGAUUAUUUGUUCAUCAAUUACAUAAAAGAUUAAAAGAUAAAAAUAUAAAUCAACAAUGCAAAAACACAAAAAAGAAAGGAAAAUUUUGCUUAAGAAUUGGUAGGGGCUGCGCGAACGCAAGCCCCCGCUGCAACAAAUUAUGACAUAGGCUCGACUACUUGGGCCGACCUUAGGUAGGCACCCCUCCAAAGUGCAAUGGAGGUCACAAACCUAGGCCAUAGGUCUUAUUGAUCGCCCAUUGACCCCGUCCAGGUAAGUAUAUUUCUUGUUGCUCCUUCCUAUUCUUUUAUAUUCCUCUUUAUACUUGUUUUUCUUUGUGUCAAUCGAUGAGGGAUAUAUUGCACUUCAUCUCUUUUUUUAAAAAAAAAAUUUAAUAGCAAACAAGAUAGACAACAAACAAAUCUUUUACCAUAUUCAUGGGCGAAUUAAAAUAACAUUAAAAAGCCCUUGUGAAUUUUAGUAUUGAGUAAAUCAUAACUUUCGGGGUGGUUCAAGUUCGAAAUCUCUUGCCAACAAAAGCAAAAAAUAAGAUUAAAAAGUCCUUCUUAGUUGGGGUUAGCCUAGUGGUUUGGACUUAGUACUAUAAUGUUGGAGGUCACAAGUUCGAAAUCUCUUGCCAACGAAUCAAGCUCGUCGUACCUGACUUGCCUAGUGCGGAUUACCAUGCUGUAUGGUUUGCAAGUUAUUACAUAAAAGCGUAGUGUAAGUUAUUGCAUAAAAGACUAAUACGGAUUACCUCUCUUGUGUAGUUUAUGAGCUAUUGCAUAAAAGCGGACUGUCACUAUAAUUUUACUCAAAUAAAUUAAAUUAUAAGACAAGUAACAAAAAAAAUUUGAUAGUAGUAUUGUUGGGGUCCUCUAAAGAAGAGAAUCCCUCCAAAAAUUAGCGUAUGCCACUGAUUGCAGCGUGCACACGGUAUUCUUUAGUAAAAGGCGAAAGAAUAGUUCGCUUUGUGCUCACUGCGUGGCUGCGUGAGUUCUUAGGGCUAAUCUGUGGUGCAUUUUGUUACGGGACAAAGUUUGUAUUUACACUUUUUUUAUCAAUGUGGUACUCACCUCACUCACUCCUUUUCAAUAUUGCUCUAUGCUUAUUUUUAAGUAACUUUAUGAUUGAAAAUCUAACAUGUUUUUCAAAUAGAAACUACUUAAGUUGUCUUGUUUUAUACUUUUUCGAUCAUCUAAUUUAAGAUAUGAUGUCGAUUUGGUUUCUUUUUUAUUAUAAGGAGAUAUAUUUUUAGAAGAUGAUGGAUAAGGUGUCGCGAACUGAGCAUCUUGAAUAGUUGAACUCGAAUGCAGGUUGUGUUUUUCAAAAAGUGUAUAGUGAAGGACCUAUAGAUUAUAUACUGUGGCCUUAUAAUCUAUGUUGGUCGUACUCUUUUGUAUGCUAGUACAUGUUUGAGUAGCUAGACGUCAUGCAUCACGCAUGUGUCGAAGAUCUUAGAGCUUCCGUCUAGUUUGGAUCUUUUUUGACGUGCCCAUCCGAAGGAGCCAGCAUUAUAUCGAAAUGAAAUUGAUUUCGAUAUCACUCAUGAACGCCCUGACAACUAAAAGAAAGGAUUUCUCAAACUCCUUCACUUAGCAGAUUAUGUUAAGAUCAAGCGCUUAUCAUCAUGUCAAAAGCUAUACCUGAUAGGAAAGGCGCUACUUUAUUUCUUAACUAAGUCUAACAAGCAAACAUUAUAUUCGAUCAUGACUCAGACUCAUGCCACCCAACCUCUCGUGGGCCUUGCAUUAGGUAGGAUGUUGAAAUUACUCUACAAAUUAUAUGAAUGAAAAGUGAUAAUAAAGUUGUUCAUCCGUAAAACAUAGAACUUAAGAGAGAUAUGUAAUUUACGAAUUCUGUAUAUACAAAAGAAAAAAUUUGCUUAAGAAUUGAGUAGGGGCUGCACGAACGCAAACCCCCACUACAACAAAUUAUGACAUGGGCUCAACCAUUUGUAUCGACCUUAGAUAGACACUCCUCCAAAGUGCAAUGAAGGUCACAAACCUAGGUUGUGGGUCUUAUUGAUCACCCAUCGACCCUGUCCAGGUAAGUAUAUCUCUUGUUGUUCCUUCCUAUUAUUUUAUCCCAUCUUAAUAUUUGUUUUCCUUUGUGUCACCGAUGAGGGAUAUAUAGCCCUUCAUCUUUUUGUUAUCAAUUUUUUUUCAUUUAAUAGUAAACAAAUCUUUACUGGGAGAAAUUAAAAUUAUAAUUUCUUCUGAAUUCUAACACGAGGAAAAUAUUUUUCAUGAAAAACAUUUUUGAAUCAUUGGGGUGUCUGUCAAUGUGACGGAAGUAUCAGCAUGUUGUUAGGCUAAAAUAAUCUGAAGAUAUUGUUAACAUGUUGUGAUAUUGUUAGCUAUGGAUCAAAAGCCACACGAUUUCAAUGCUCUAUUCAUAGACUCGUUAGCUUCACAUCUCUAACAAAUUUGGCAAAGUUGGUUCACCUAACACAUAAAAGGUCAAAGUUUAAUAAUCAUCAUGUUAGAACUAAUACCAAUAAAGACUCGUAGCGUAGUGGUUAUUGAGUGCAAAAGUAUAGGAGGCAUGCAAGAUUGAAUGCUUGAGUACUUUUUAAAAUCGUAGAGAGUCGUUGAAUAUCUGAACUUUAAACGUGAAGUUCCCCACCAUAACUGUUGGGAUUUAAAGGUGUAGACAUGAACUGAAGGGUUGUGACUCUCAUGAAGGAUUGUGACUUUGCCAAAGAGUUGUAACCUUUAUGAAAGGUUGUGCAUUUUCCAAAAGGUUGUCUUUUUUUCAAAAACUUGUGACUUUUACCCUUUGUUGGCUAUAAAUAGAGAGGCUUUCUGUCAUUUUUCUACAUUGAAUUAUUCCCUUCUUUUGCAUACAUUUCUUACAAAAUAAAAUUGAUCGAUCGUGUCUAUGUGUGUGAUUUGUUGCUGUCAUUUUGAGUUCGUUGAAAUUAUCGAAGUUUGAGGUACCCUAAUUCUUUAAUAGUUAAUCCGUUUUAUCUCAGGAUGAAUAAAUUUGCAAUUUCAGGUAAUUGAGGGGAUUAAAUUUUUUAAGGACACAGUUGGUUCUGUGGACUCGGAUUAGUUCUUUGUUUUUUCUUUUCGUCUUUUAUUAUUUCUGAUUAGACUGGAGAUGGACAAUCUUACUAGUUCCCCACCUGCAUUCGCACAGUCCCCCUACCCAAGAGACGAACAAAAUCUGAAACAAGAAAAUUUUUGCUUAAGAAUUGGGUAGGGACACGCGAACGCAUGCCCCCCUGCAACAAAUUGUGACGUAGGCUCGACCACUUUGGCCGACCUUAGAUAAGCAACCCUUCAAAGUGCAAUGAAGGUCACAAAUCUAGGCCAUGGGUCUUAUUGAUCACCCAUUGACCACGUCUAGGUAUGUAUGUUUCUUAAUGUUCCUUCCUAUUUUUUUUAUAACCAUCUUAAUACUCGUUUUCCUUUGUGUCAACCGAUGAGGGAUAUAUUUGUUGGAAAAAAUACUACAAUGUUGAUAUUGGACUAAAAUUAUAAAGAAGUGAAUAACUUAACACAAAUACUGUGUCAUGACAAGCCACUGUCGUGAAAACAAUUUCGGCCCAACUCCAGUGUAAAUCGUUGUAGUCGGUCGCUCCCCAAGGUUCCACAGUUACUCUCAAACACGUGUAUUCAUGGUUGAAAGUUUGGAGUUGCACAAAAACAAUUGAUCGGGUAUCCACAAUAGGGAGAAUGAUUAUUUUAGCCAAUAAAGAAAUUGGUGAAGGAGAUAGUGAAUGAAAGAAAGGACAUUUGUUUAUUUCUUCUAUGUGUUUAGCUCCCAAAUGAUAUCCUUAAAUAGGAAAAUUAUUUACAUUUUCAUCCAUUAAAAGAAUGUAAGAAACUAACGUAUAAUCUACCAAAGUAACUUCAAGUCUUCUGAAUAUUUUCUUACGAAGUUAAGAAAACUGACACUUGAGAUAAAUAUGAACCACUAAUAUGGAAGUUACUCUCCUAUUUCACAUAUACUAACGACUUAGCAAUUAUGUCCAAAUAGAUUAAUUAGAGAAAACUUAAAAGAUGUAACUUAUCCAUAGGAAUAUUAUCCACAAUAUUGCCUUUCAUCUUCUUACUAUUUUUUUGUUUCAUUUAAGUAUCAAACAAAUCUUUAUCAUAAUACUCUGGGAAAAACAUUAAAAAUAGUAUUGUUGGGGUAACUCCUAAAUAAGAGAACCCCUCCAAAAAUUGGCGUAUGCCACUAUUUGCAACGCACACACGGUAUUCUUUAGUAAAAGGCGAAAGAAUAGUUCGCUUUGUGCUCGCUGCGUGGCUGCGUGAGUUCUUAGGGCUAAUCUGUGGUGCAAUUUUAUACUCAGACAAAGUAUGUGUUUACUCCUUGUUUAUCAAUGUGGUACUCAACUCACUCUUUCUCUUUGUUUGUUUUUUUCCUUCAACGUGUUCAAUCAAACAUUGCAAAUGGUGUUUUUCAACUGAUCGAUUCGAAAAAAAGAUAACAGUUGUGUUUGUUUAAAUUGCUUCUUCUAUGGUAUAAUCUAUGUUUUUUUAGACUCUCCAAAAAUGUUGAUACACUGAACUCGUCACCUUUUUUUCAUCGAGUUGCGUAUGGAAUGUUGUAUCUUUAAAGCAAAGGUUUUUAUAUCACUCCUUAAAUCAUUGGGCUAAAACAAUCCGAAAAUACUCUUAACAUGUUGUAAUAUUGUUCGUUAGAUUCAUUAGCUGGGAAAAUUUCUCCUCAUUGUUUUUGUCCAUGUUAAUUAAAAUCUUAUAUGUUACUGGUUUUCAUGAGCCAACAUGAACAAGAAAAAAUUGCUUAAGAAUUGGUAGGGGCUGCGCGAACGCAAGACCCCACUGCAACAAAUUAUGACGUAGGCUCGACCACUUGGAUCGACCUUAGGUAGGCACCCCUCCAAAGUGCAAUGGAGGUCACAAGCCUAGGCCAUGGGUCUUACUGAUCGCCCAUCGACCCCGUCCAGGUAAGUAUGUUUCUAGUUGCUCCUUCCUAUUCUUUUAUACCCAUCUUUAUACUUGUUUUUCUUGUCUCAACCGAUGAGGGAUAUAUUGUUACUUCAUCUCUUUUUUUCUCUUUUUUUUUUCCAUUUAAUUGCAAACAAGACAAAUUAAAAUAAACAUUAAAAAGCCCUUGUGAAUUUCAGUAUUGAGUAAAUUAUAACUUUUGGGAUGGUCCAAGUUCGAAAUCUCUUGCCAACAAAAGCAAGAGAUUUGUUUUCUGGAUCGAGCUCUCGUUGUACCUAACUUUCCCUACUGCGGAUUACCUCUCCUAUCUGUGGGGGUGUCAUUAGAAAAACACAAGUAUUGAGUAAAUCACAUGAUCCGAUUUUACUGACAAAGUCUAAGUGUCUAGUUCGUACUUAUCGGAUGUGUUCCUAGACAAAAAUAUUUUUCAUGAAAAAUAUUUUUCCAUCGUACCGACCACUCAUCUCAUACAACCGUCUCUUAAUCUUAAUGUCUUUGGUUAUGUGCUUGACUAAUUCUACUAUGUGGACCAAACCAAAGACAUACAAACUAAGUACCUUAGUAGAAGCAGAGCAUCAAUAUCCUAAAAGUAUGACAGAAUGUAUCUUAUACUAUUUACGAUAAUUCAAAAGUAUAUUGUAAUUUUUUCCUAAAGAAAAGUUAAACUUGUAUUGUUGGGGCUUUCAAUAAAGAAAACCCCUCCAAAAAUUGGCGUAUGCCACUAUUUGCAACACGCACACGGUAUUCUUUAGUAAAAGGCGAAAGAAUAGUUCGCUUUGUGCUCAUUGCGUGGCUGGGUAAGUUGUUAAGCCAAUCUGUGCUGCAUUUUUAUAUUGGGAUAAAGUUAGUUUUUACUUGUAUUUUAUCAAUGUGGUACUCUCUACACUCUUUUUUUCUCUCUUCUUUUUCAUCGCUCUUUGAUCGAAAAUCAUCAUGUUUCUUCUAUACUUUUAUUGUUCGAUUAAUUUAAGAUUUGUUUUCACUUCAUUUUCUUGGUGAUUCAGGAGAAAUAUAUGGUCACAAGUUAACUGAUGAAACGUCGCGUUAGGAUGUUUUGUACUUAGUACUCUUGAAUACUUGAAUUAUAGUCUGAAUUUUUGUUAAGGACAAUCAAAAUUCGAAAGAAAUCAACAAAUGAAUAAGCCAAGAGAAUUCAUCGCCUAUCAUACCCUUACUCUAUAAGUAUUUACGUUUUCAUCCAUUAAAAGAAUAUAAGAAACUAAUGUAUAAUCAACGUUUUUCAUUACCCUUACUCUAUAAGUAACAAAUUUGUUAUCAUACAAAAAUAAUUUCAAGUCCUCUAAAUAUUUUUCUUACAGAGUAAAGAAAUUGACACUUGAGAUAAAUAUUAACCAGUAAUGUGGAAGUUACUCUCCUAUUUCACAUAUACAAAACGACUUGACAAUGUUCACAUAGAUUAAUUACCUUUGCAUUAAAAAGAAAAGGAAUAUUUUCCACAAUAUUGUCAUUCAUCUUCUUAUUAUUUUUUGUUUCAUUUAUAUAUCAAACAAAUCUUUAUCAUACUCUUGCAUGGGAAAAUUAAACUUAACUACAAAAGUUUUUAAACUUAUAGGGUGUUUUUGGUACAAAGGAAAACAUUAAAACUAGUAUUGUUGGGGUCCUCUAGAGAAGAGAAUCCCUCCAAAAAUUGGCGUAUACCAUUGAUUGCAACGCGCGCGCACUGUAUUCUUUAGCUAAAACACUUCGAAGAUAUUCUUGACAUGUUGUGAUAUUGUUUGACUCAUUAGUUCCGUAGCUCGAGAAAAUUUCUCAUCAUGUAAAUAAUUAAUGAUACAAUUACAUAAAAGCUCAAAGAUACAAAAUAUAAAUCAACAAUGCGAAAACACACACAAAAAGAUUUGCUUUAAAUAUUGGUAGGGGCUGCGCGAACGCAAGCCCCCGCUGCAACAAAUUAUGACGUAGGCUCGACCACUUGGAUCGACCUUAGGUAGGCACCCCUCCUAAGUGCAAUGGAGGUCACAAACCUAGGUCAUGGGUCUUAUUGAUCGCCCAUUGACCUCGUCCAGGUAAGUAUGUUUCAUAUUGUUCCUUCCUAUUCUUUUAUACCCAUAUUUAUACUUGUUUUCUUUGUGUCAAUCGAUGAGGGAUAUAUUGCCCUUCAUCUCUUUCUUUUUUUUUUCAUUUUAUUAGCAAAUAAUUAUUUACCAUACCCAUGGGAAACUUAAAAUAAGAUUAAGAAAGCCCUAGUGAAUUUUAGUAUUGAGUAAAUCAUACCUUUCGGGGUGGCCUAGUAGUUUGGGCUUGAGACUUUUAUGUUGGAGGUUUCAAGUUCAAAAUCCUUCCCCUUGCCGGCGAUAGUAGAGUUUGCCUUGUGGGUCGAGCUCGUGGCGCUGGAAUGGCCUAGUAUGGGUUACAUCUCUUGUGUGAUUUAUGAGAAAUUGCAUAGAAGCAAGGUAUGGGGGUUUAUCUGUUACGUACCCAAAGUACCGGCUACGAAUUUUCCUUGUCAUUAAAAGAAAAGUAUCGAGUAAAAGACAGUCAAGUAUGUAGUUGUACUGAGAUUAAAGGUGCUAGUGUAGAAACUGAUGUUAACAAAAAUCUAUGCUUUACUACAAAAGUUGCUUUAACUUAUGUGUUCUUUGACCGAAAAUAUUUUUCAUGAAAAACAUUUCAUACUGAAUGUACGAACAUUUUCAUAAUGUUAUUUUCUCUUACUGAAUGUACGAACAUUUUCAUAAUGUUAUUUUCUCUUACUGAAUGUACGAACAUUUUCAUAAUGUUAUUUUCUCUUUUUCAUCUUCUUUGUGGCCUAUACACACUUCGACUACUUCUACAAUGUUCACCAAACCAAAAGAAACAAAUACUACAAUGUUCACCAAACCAAAAGAAACAAAUACAAACUACGUACCUUAGUAAAAGCAAUUUAAAUUUGAAUUUUUUGUAUUGUAACUCAAAUUUUGCUCAUACAUAAUACUAUAAAUUAUAUUAUAAGACAUACAAAAAAAUUUAAAACUAGUAUUGUUGGGACUUUCAAUGAAGAGAACCCCUCCAAAAAUUGGCGUAUGCCACUAUUUGCAACGCACACACGGUAUUCUUUAGUAAAAGGCGAAAGAAUAGUUCGCUUUGUGCUCACUGCGUG
RNAcentral lists this long non-coding RNA (8018 nucleotides) under Solanum lycopersicum (tomato). RNAcentral describes it as "long non-coding RNA (SLYC_LNC001167)". Lineage: Eukaryota; Viridiplantae; Streptophyta; Magnoliopsida; Solanales; Solanaceae. The record is from RNAcentral.